This 320-nucleotide ribosomal RNA is filed under the name Symphytognatha picta. Its description in RNAcentral is "partial 12S ribosomal RNA". The record is from RNAcentral. Lineage: Eukaryota; Metazoa; Arthropoda; Arachnida; Araneae; Symphytognathidae.
UUAGAAUAAAUUUAGUAGUAUUAUUUAAAAAAACUUUAAAAUACUGGCAGCAUAAACUAAUUAGAGUAACCUGUCUAGUAAUAGAUAAUUCACUAUAAACUCUCACUUAAUUUAAAAACCUAUAUAUCUCCAUCUUAGAUUAUAUUUAAAUAUAUAAUCAUAAUAAAAAUAUAACAACUUAGGUAAGAUAUAGUCAAUAAAUAAGAAUAGAUGUGUCUCUAUAAGAAUUACUUAUGAAUAAUAUUUUAAAAUAUAUUUAAAACAGAAUUUAAAAGUAAUUUUAAACUAAUAAUUUAAAUUGAAUUUUAAUAAAUAUGUGC